This 433-nucleotide ribosomal RNA is filed under the name uncultured bacterium. RNAcentral describes it as "bacterial SSU rRNA". It matches the Rfam family "Bacterial small subunit ribosomal RNA", at positions 355 to 779 of the family's 1533-position model. The record is from RNAcentral.
AAGGGAAUCUUCGGCAAUGGACGAAAGUCUGACCGAGCAACGCCGCGUGAGUGAAGAAGGUUUUCGGAUCGUAAAACUCAGUUGUUAGAGAAGAAUGUUGAUUAGAGUGGAAAAUUAAUCAAGUGACGGUAUCUAACCAGAAAGGGACGGCUAACUACGUGCCAGCAGCCGCGGUAAUACGUAGGUCCCGGAGCGUGUUCCGGAUUUAUUGGGCGUAAAGCGAGCGCAGGUGGUUUAAUAAGUCUGAUGUAAAAGGCAGUGGCUCAACCAUUGUGUGCAUUGGAAACUGUUAGACUUGAGUGCAGUAGAGGAGAGUGGAAUUCCAUGUGUAGCGGUGAAAUGCGUAGAUAUAUGGAGGAACACCGGUGGCGAAAGCGGCUCUCUGGACUGUCACUGACACUGAGGCUCGAAAGCGUGGGUAGCAAACAGGAUU